This 145-nucleotide ribosomal RNA is filed under the name Monilinia vaccinii-corymbosi. RNAcentral also lists the same sequence under 1 other name. Lineage: Eukaryota; Fungi; Ascomycota; Leotiomycetes; Helotiales; Sclerotiniaceae. The record is from RNAcentral.
CAGAGCUUACGCCCCCAAGGGCAGAACCUCUCCACCCUUUGUGUAUUAUUACUUUGUUGCUUUGGCGGGCCGCCUCCGGGCCUCGCGUGCCCGCCAAUGACCUAACCCUUUUUAUUCAUGUCGUCUGAGCACUAUACAAUAGUUA